UCCCUGGUGGCUCAUACAGUAAAGAAUCUGCCUGCCGUGCAGAAGACCCAGGUUCAAUCCCUGGGUUGGGAA
RNAcentral lists this transfer RNA (72 nucleotides) under Bos taurus (domestic cattle). It matches the Rfam family "tRNA". From Rfam's summary of the family: Transfer RNA (tRNA) molecules are approximately 80 nucleotides in length. Their secondary structure includes four short double-helical elements and three loops (D, anti-codon, and T loops). Further hydrogen bonds mediate the characteristic L-shaped molecular structure. tRNAs have two regions of fundamental functional importance: the anti-codon, which is responsible for specific mRNA codon recognition, and the 3' end, to which the tRNAs corresponding amino acid is attached (by aminoacyl-tRNA synthetases). tRNAs cope with the degeneracy of the genetic code in two manners: having more than one tRNA (with a specific anti-codon) for a particular amino acid; and 'wobble' base-pairing, i.e. permitting non-standard base-pairing at the 3rd anti-codon position. Lineage: Eukaryota; Metazoa; Chordata; Mammalia; Artiodactyla; Bovidae. RNAcentral also lists the same sequence under 5 other names. The record is from Rfam by way of RNAcentral.